GGUUAAGUUAACAAGGGCGCAUGGUGAAUGCCUUGGCACUAGGAGCCGAUGAAGGACGGGACUAACACCGAUAUGCUUCGGGGAGCUGUACGUAAGCUAUGAUCCGGAGAUUUCCGAAUGGGGCAACCCAGCAGUUUUAAUCAACUGUUACCACUAGAUGAAUUCAUAGUCUAGUUGGAGGUAAACGCUGUGAACUGAAACAUCUCAUUAGCAGCAGGAAUAUAAAGAAAUUUCGAUUCCCUAAGUAGCGGCGAGCGAACGGGGAACAGCCCAAACCAAAGUGCUUGCACUUUGGGGUUGUAGGACUGAACAUUUGAGUUACCAAAGAACUUGAUAGUCGAAGGAUUUGGGAAAAUCCGCCAUAGAUGGUGAUAGCCCAGUAGAUUAAAUCAAAUUCUCUCAGUUCAGGAUCCUGAGUACGGCGGAACACGUGAAAUUCCGUCGGAAUCCGGGAGGACCAUCUCCCAAGGCUAAAUACUACCUAGUGACCGAUAGUGAACCAGUACCGUGAGGGAAAGGUGAAAAGCACCCCGGGAGGGGAGUGAAAUAGUUCCUGAAACCAUGUGCCUACAAUAAGUCAGAGCGCGUUAAUGCGUGAUGGCGUGCCUUUUGUAGAAUGAACCGGCGAGUUAUGAUCCCGUGCAAGGUUAAGACUAAAAAGUCGGAGCCGUAGCGAAAGCGAGUCUGAAAUGGGCGAUUUGAGUACGAGGUUAUAGACCCGAAACCAGGUGACCUAUCCAUGUCCAGGUUGAAGGUGCGGUAAAACGCACUGGAGGACCGAACCCGUGUAAGUUGAAAAUUGCUGGGAUGAGGUGUGGAUAGCGGUGAAAUUCCAAACGAACUUGGAGAUAGCUGGUUCUCUCCGAAAUAGCUUUAGGGCUAGCCUCGGAUUAAGGAUCAUGGAGGUAGAGCACUAUUUGGACUAGGGGCCCGUCUUGGGUUACUGAAUUCAGAUAAACUCCGAAUGCCAUUGAUUCAUGUCCGGGAGUCAGACGAUGAGUGAUAAGAUCCACCGUCGAAAGGGGAACAGCCCAGACCAUCAGUUAAGGUCCCUAAAUGUAUGCUAAGUGGAAAAGGAUGUGGAGUUGCAUAGACAACUAGGAUGUUGGCUCAGAAGCAGCCACCAUUUAAAGAGUGCGUAAUAGCUCACUAGUCGAGUGAUCCUGCGCCGAAAAUGUACCGGGGCUAAGCAUACUACCGAAACCAUGGAUGCGACCAUUAGGUCGCGUGAUAGGAGAGCGUUCUAAGGGCGGUGAAGCAAGAUCGUGAGGACUUGUGGAGCGCUUAGAAGUGAGAAUGCCGGUAUGAGUAGCGAAGGAUAGGUGAGAAUCCUAUCCACCGAAUGACUAAGGUUUCCUGGGGAAGGCUCGUCCUCCCAGGGUUAGUCGGGACCUAAGUCGAGGCCGAGAGGCGUAGACGAUGGAUAACAGGUUGAGAUUCCUGUACUAGUUAAGUGCGUUUGAGCAAUGGAGGGACGCAGGAGGCUAAGAUGUGCAUUCUGUUGGAUUAGAAUGUCCAAGCAGUAAGUCUUGUGGAGAGUCAAAUGCUUUUCACUUUAAGGACAAGCUGUGAUGGGGAGCGAAAUUUAGUAGCGAAGCGUCUGAUGUCACACUGCCGAGAAAAGCUUCUAGUGAGUACUUAACUACCCGUACCGCAAACCGACACAGGUAGUCGAGGAGAGAAUCCUAAGGUGAGCGAGUGAACUCUCGUUAAGGAACUCGGCAAAAUGACCCCGUAACUUCGGGAGAAGGGGUGCUGAUCGCAAGAUCAGCCGCAGUGAAUAGGCCCAGGCGACUGUUUAUCAAAAACACAGGUCUCUGCAAAAUCGUAAGAUGACGUAUAGGGGCUGACGCCUGCCCGGUGCUGGAAGGUUAAAAGGAUGGGUUAGCUUCGGCGAAGCUCAGAAUUGAAGCCCCAGUAAACGGCGGCCGUAACUAUAACGGUCCUAAGGUAGCGAAAUUCCUUGUCGGGUAAGUUCCGACCCGCACGAAAGGCGUAACGAUCUGGGCACUGUCUCAACGAGAGACUCGGUGAAAUUAUAUUGUCCGUGAAGAUGCGGACUACCCGCGACAGGACGGAAAGACCCCAUGGAGCUUUACUGUAGCUUGAUAUUGAGUGUUUGUACAGCUUGUACAGGAUAGGUAGGAGCCAUAGAAACCGGAACGCUAGUUUCGGUGGAGGCGUUGGUGGGAUACUACCCUCGCUGUAUGACCACUCUAACCCGCACCACUAAUCGUGGUGGGAGACAGUGUCAGGUGGGCAGUUUGACUGGGGCGGUCGCCUCCUAAAAAGUAACGGAGGCGCCCAAAGGUUCCCUCAGAAUGGUUGGAAAUCAUUCGCAGAGUGUAAAGGCACAAGGGAGCUUGACUGCGAGACAGACAGGUCGAGCAGGGACGAAAGUCGGGCUUAGUGAUCCGGUGGUACCGUAUGGAAGGGCCAUCGCUCAACGGAUAAAAGCUACCCUGGGGAUAACAGGCUUAUCUCCCCCAAGAGUCCACAUCGACGGGGAGGUUUGGCACCUCGAUGUCGGCUCAUCGCAUCCUGGGGCUGUAGUCGGUCCCAAGGGUUGGGCUGUUCGCCCAUUAAAGCGGUACGCGAGCUGGGUUCAGAACGUCGUGAGACAGUUCGGUCCCUAUCCGUCGCGGGCGUAGGAAAUUUGAGAGGACCUGUCCUUAGUACGAGAGGACCGGGAUGGACAUACCUCUGGUGUACCAGUUGUGCCGCCAGGCGCAUCGCUGGGUAGCUACGUAUGGAUGUGAUAAACGCUGAAAGCAUCUAAGUGUGAAACACACCUCGAGAUGAGAUUUCCCAUUCCUUUAUGGAAGUAAGACCCCUGAAAGAUGAUCAGGUAGAUAGGUUAGAAGUGGCAGUGCGGUGACGCAUGAAGCGGACUAAUACUAAUCGGUCGAGGACUUAACCAA
RNAcentral lists this ribosomal RNA (2921 nucleotides) under Lactiplantibacillus pentosus. Its description in RNAcentral is "23S ribosomal RNA". It matches the Rfam family "Bacterial large subunit ribosomal RNA". The record is from RNAcentral. Lineage: Bacteria; Bacillati; Bacillota; Bacilli; Lactobacillales; Lactobacillaceae.